UACGUAGGGCGCAAGCGUUGUCCGGAAUUAUUGGGCGUAAAGAGCUCGUAGGCGGCUUGUCACGUCGGGUGUGAAAGACCGGGGCUUAACCCCGGUUCUGCAUUCGAUACGGGCUGGCUAGAGUGUGGUAGGGGAGAUCGGAAUUCCUGGUGUAGCGGUGAAAUGCGCAGAUAUCAGGAGGAACACCGGUGGCGAAGGCGGUUCUCUGGGCAUUACCUGACGCUGAGGAGCGAAAGUGUGGGGAGCGAACAGG
This 253-nucleotide ribosomal RNA is filed under the name uncultured bacterium. RNAcentral's name for it is "partial 16S ribosomal RNA". It matches the Rfam family "Bacterial small subunit ribosomal RNA", at positions 524 to 776 of the family's 1533-position model. The record is from RNAcentral.